Long non-coding RNA from Hipposideros armiger (great roundleaf bat), 754 nucleotides. RefSeq lists it as uncharacterized. NCBI's taxonomy places the organism in Eukaryota, Metazoa, Chordata, Mammalia, Chiroptera, Hipposideridae. The record is from RefSeq and is a predicted model, not a curated record. The transcript is spliced from 4 exons.
CGCCCCCAUCGGCCGUCGCAUCCGGCGGUGCAGGUGUUGGAACAAGGUCAGCCGACCCGGCGGCCUCACAGAAAAUGAAUCCGCGGCGGGGCCUUUAAGGAAGAGUGCAGUUAGGAAUGGUGACUCCCUAGCUUGAGUGCUUUUAGAUUUCUGAUGUGGUAGACAGACGACGACUACAGUCUAACGCAGUGCUCUGAAUCCUAUUAUUGCUACAAAUGGGAAUUCAGGAGGAGGAAUCUUUAAUCAAGUGGAUGCCUCAUCAAAGAGGGGAGAGCACAAAUGCAGUCCCUCACUACCACAAAUGAUGCAGUCGAGUUUCCCACAUUUGGGGAAAUCACAGAGGUCAGCACAUUCGGAGUGCAAUGGAUAAGCCUCGCCCUGGGAAAAUCACCUUCGUGAUCAUGGUAUCUCCCCUGCCAGAGACAUAUAGAACCUAACAUGAUUCUGGCGACUAUAAUAGCUAAAGUCAAGUACUCCUCAACUAUUCACUAAAGAAUUGCAUAGGUGUUGCUCAAGAAGCAGAGAGAGAUUUGACACAGAAGAGAAAGCAUGGAGGCACAUAUUGGAGUGAUGUGCCACAAGCCAAGGAAUGCCAGCAGCCAUCAGAAGCUGGAAAGCACAAGGAACUGAUACUCCCCUGGAAGCUCCAGAAGGAGCCUGGCCCUGCAGACACCCUGAUUUUGACCCAGUGAAAUUGAUUUCAAACUUCUGGCCUCCAGAACUGUGAAAUAAUAAAAAAAAAAUUUCUGUUGUU